UCCCAUCUCGGCUAGUAGGCCGUUUACGUAGUACUUAGCUCCUAUUAGCUUUUUGUUGCAAUGAAUUGUGGCGUUAAACUUUUCCCCUGGUUCACAUUUUCCUCUCCAACGCUUAGGUAUUGGUCCAAGGCCUUGAUCGUUGAAUACCUUUGACUCUGGCCAUAUUCCUUUAUAUAUACAUACAUACAUGAUGUGAGACAAGGAUAUAUAUAUAUAUAGAGAGAGAGAGAGAGAGAGACCGGUAUCUAUGACGCCGAUGAUAGCUUCACUGCCCAUGUUGGUGUCAAGAAGAAGACCUUUUACAGAUGUUGUUGAGGAAGAAAAAGAAGUUGGAAUUUGAGAGAGUUCAAGGAGAUCCCAAGUUCUUGUGGUUUGCAGUUUCAGAAUCCGGUUUGGUAUAACAUGGAUUACUUCAGGAUGGUCUGUGCAAGAUUCCGGUUUUUUAAAAAAAGAUCUCUGAUAUAUGAAGUUUCUUUAGUUUGAGUUUGAGUUCUGUUUAGUACGUACCUGAUAUUUUGUUUGCUUGGGAAGAAGUAAGAAGUGCUGCGAAACCGGAAAAUCCAUGUUGAUAGCUGUAGAUCAUCGAUUUAUGUGCGUCUUCUUUGCUAUAUGUAACAUGAAGAUAUAAGUUAGAGAGCAACUCAUGAUGUGCAUUAAGAAGUAUAACAAAAAGGAGUAGGGCUUUAGUUUCGUGAAGAAACAGAACAUAGCGAGAGGAUUUCUUUGGUGGCAAGAAACUAAUGUUAAAUAAAACAUAUUCAGCAACUUUGAUGUCAUAGUCACUAUGCAUACAAAAAAAAUCUCACUAGAGAUUUGGCCUUUUGAAGAUGAUUAAGUACCUAUCAAGAAAUGAUUCAAGCAUUUGAUGAUGAGAGGCUGUAACAAGUUCGGGAUCAUCAUUUUCUCUUUCCCCAAGAUAAACUAUAUAAACCUAUGGAAUUAUUGAAAAAUACACAUUAGAUCAAAUAAAAGUCAAUAAUAUCUUAGCAAAUAUGGAAAUGUCAUUUUUGCGUUAAAUGCCUUGGUGUUGUUGUCUAUGGCUCUCGCAGGUGAAAGAAAACCCAGCUCCGUGUUAACUAAUAGAAACAAAGAAAAUGCCAAUAGAAGCACAAGUUUGUAACUUGGUAAAGAGUUCUCCAUUUUCUUUAAUGAGAAGUGUGUGUGUGUGUGGAACAAAACCUAUGUGGUUAUUUAUAUAUGUAAAUGAUUCAUUCGUCUUUCAAUUUACAGUUCAUGACCCACUUCAGCACUUAGACGUGGAGUUUUGGGUUAGACUUCGGUUAGGAUAUGUAUUUAAUUAGUUCGGCUAAGAGGAAUGUCAUACUCAAAGGACAAAAACAAGGUCACUUUGAUUAGAUUUUGUUUUGGUUUAGGUGUGAUGAUUGUACCUAUGAGUAAACAUCAUUAUUUACCAUAUGACGAUGACGAUAUGACGUAAGCGGAAGUUUGUUAGAGAAUAAGAUAUUUUCGCUCCGUUACCAUAUGAGUAAACAUCAUUAUACUCAUUAAUUAGUUUCAAAUGUACAGAGUCUGCUUAUAUACAUGACUCAACUGAAUAAACCAAAAGUAAAUAAAUCGGUUUAUAUGUACCAGUGUACAAUCAUCAGCUAUUAACCAAAACUAUACAAGAGUUUUGUACGAUAAUAGUAUCAUUAGUCUUAUAUAAUUGCAUUGUGUUCAAAAAAAAAAAGUCUUAUAUAACUGCAUUCAUUAUUUAUGUUGAUUUGAGAAAAUACUUGUCAAACUAAAACCUGACCUCAUUGCGGUUCGUUUUGUUUCAAUCAAUAUCGGUUAGUGAUCACCCUUACUAGGCACAAGAGUCGCGAUAGAAGGGAAAUAUGACAACAAUAAAUAAAAAAUUGUUAAGGUUUAAGGCAUUUUACACCUAGGUCUGAGAUUCAAAAUUAGAAGCACUGUAUCCUAAAUUCCUAAUGGUUAAGGUUUAAAGGUUUUUACACCCAGGUCGGAGGUUCAAAUCCCAGACUAUGCAAUUUAUUUGCAGAUUAUAAGAAAUCCAAAUUUCAAUUUAUUUGCAGAUUAUUAAACAAUUAUGCAAACGUAUGGAAGAAAAGCUUACAAGGAAUCUUCAACAUGGUGCAAGUAAAUCUGGUCUAGCGUGGAUCUUUAUAGGACGGCUCAGGUGAUGCGGUUAAGCGUAGGUUUUCAUAAAGCAGGUAGUAUUGUCGAUUAUCGAAUCAUCUAUGUAAUCUUCCUUAUAUCAUAAUAAAUCAGUUUUAAAAAAUAAAAAUAAAAAUUGAUUUAUUGAGUCAACCCGUGCAGGGUCAUUUCGAGUCAAACCGGUUUUAUCUCUUUUAUCAUGCGACUAAACCCCACCAAAAUGUUUUGCUCCCUUUGUCAGAUACCCACUUUCCUUAAAGCCUAAUCCUUUCCUGAAAUUGUUUUAUAGAAAUCUAUGAUUUGUUUAACUAAAUAUUAUCAGUUUGGCCUAUAAGAGGAUAUCAAUCAUAUCUGACUAAUCUAUCUAGUUAGUAAGUUAAACCAUGGUUUGUUUACGACCAUGACUGACGGAAUUUGGUAUAGAGAGAGAUGAUUAUUAUAUCUUGAUAGAGAAAUCCAAACUGAAAGAUAGAAUCAUUGACAAGAAAAAGGUUUUUAGUGAUUUAAACUCCGAACUAUUUUUAAAUCGGAAGAAAAACUACCAACUAAAAUUUUAUGCUUUUAAAUCUUCAACUAAGAUUUUGUUAGUGUAUUAAUCCCUCCGUUAACAGUUCCGAUUAAAGUGGAUGGAAAACAUUAACUUGAAACACUGAGUUUCAUUAAACCCAGGUACAUGUCAUUUUUUUAAUGAAACUCAACGUUUCAAGUCAACGUUUUCCGUCCAGUUUAGACGAAACUGUUAACGGAAGGGUUGAUACACUAACGGAAUCUUAGUUGAAAGCUUAAGAACAUAAAAUAUUAGUUGGAGGUUUUUCUUCCGANNNNNNNNNNNNNNNNNNNNNNNNNNNNNNNNNNNNNNNNNNNNNNNNNNNNNNNNNNNNNNNNNNNNNNNNNNNNNNNNNNNNNNUCCGAUCUAAAAAUAGUUCAAGGUUUAAAUCACUAAAAACCAAAAAGAAAACCAAUUCUAAUUUUUGCAUUUAUGGGUAUACGCAAAAACAUGGAAUGUGUAUAACAACAUGAAACUAUAUGGAAAAAAAAACAUGAAAUCAUAUGCUAAUAUUUCUUUUCUAGUAAAUUUUGUUCCAAUUAUCUAUAUAUUCUUAUAUAUAUUAUUUUUAUUUGAAUAGAAUUAAUCUAAUAUUACUAAGAAUUGACACUAAAUUACUAUACACAAGUAAACUUCUGUGUUACAUUUGGAUAUAUACUUUUCAUUUGUCUCUUUGUACAGCAUAUAUAUUAUAGUCAUGUGUUCAUAUUAUAGUCUUGAAUUGAAUGUGUUUUUCAUACUUGGUAGAUAAAUGGUGACCACCAAUAGUUGAAUCUGUUUGAUAGUGGAAUCUUCAAAGGUGGUACGACUGAAUUUAUUGACUCGCUUUUUAUGCACGUGCAAGAAAUAGAUUAUUUUGUGUUUUGUUUUUUCUUUUUCUGCCAAAUGAUUAUUGUGUGUUUUCUUCUUUUUAGAAAGCCAUGAUAAAUUGAUAGUUAAAUACUACUAGAAAUCUAGCAUGCAUCGCUGAUAAUCCGUAACAAAGCACCGAUUGACCCACCCACUUGUCUCUCUUCAUAAUAUAUGUCCUCGAAUACACGUUUGUGCUCAUGUUACUACGUGUUUUCAGAAUGUUGUUGUAGUAUUGUUCUUAGCUGAGUGUUGAAGAAUUUCUGAAGAACACCCUUUCACCUAUUUUGUCUUCCUGGAGAUUUUUAUGACCGUGUUAUUGUUGUAGGGUAUUUAUUGCGCAUGCAUGAUACUUUGAUCAUACUAGUUUGCGAUCAUACUAAUUAGUGUAUGUUUAUUUCUGGUUGACUACAAACUACUACAAGAUAUAUACCUAAUCAGAUAACAAAUGUUUUUACAAUAUAUAUAUAUAUAUAUAUAUAUAUAUAUAUAUAAAAUAUAUAAAUAGAUUGAUAAUCGUAACGUAAAUAAUUUGCAAGAUGCAUUUUUUUGCUUAAGCAAGAUGCAUUUUUUAAUGAAAAGAAGAAAUGCGCUUGCGCUUUUACAUACGUUAAGUACUAUAUUCGGUCAACAAAAACCAUAGUAUGGAAAACAUUAAUCAUUAUAACAGUGAAACCCACUUAGCAUAGAACUUCAAAGGCCUUCACUAAUCACACGAGUGGAGAUUGUAUUUGAGGUAAGGCUUCUCUGAUUUUCAACCCGAAAUACUUUAUUAUUCUUUUUGACCAAUAUUUCUGAUACUUGUUUUAGUUUCAGAUUACUAUUUUUUUACUAGCAAAAUACAUUCGUGCAACUAAGAGUGAAGCGACCGUUUGUGUUUCUAACUUUCUAUUUCAAAUUUUAACAUUUCCAGAACUUUAUUUAUAUCUCUAAAAAUAAUUAUAGAUUUAGGAUAAUAUUUUCCUAGGUUGGAUUUUUAUUUCACAAAUCUUUUAUAUGUAUAAAUAUAUUAUUUCUCCCAAUUAUAUAAAUUUAUAUCAGUGAGAAGGAAAAAUAUGAGAGCAGCUGAAAAAGAGGAAGAUAAAUUGCUCAUGCAUGCAGAGCCAGUCCUAGAAAUCUUAAGGCUAGAAGCCAAAUAUGAAAAAAUGGCCGAAAAUAAAAAUUAUGUUGGUAGGGUUACUCGAACCCGGUUUUGGGAUAUCAAUACAAUGGCUAUUCAACCACUGCACUAUAGACACAUUUUGAAAAAAUGUGGCCGAUAUUUUUGAUAAUAAUUUGCGGCCGGAAGCCAUUGCUUCUAUUGCUUGGACCCAGGUCCGGCUCUGCAUGCAUGCGUGGUGGUAGCCUGGUAGGGUAGUGUGAGUAAGCAUUAGAGCACUUCUAAUGAUAGGUUCUACUCAUUAAAGUUCUAAAUAUGAAUAUAUGUUUAUGUAUAUAUUGUAUAUGUAUACGUAGUUGUGGAGGCCACUAAAUAGUGUAGAACCCCUAUUCAAAGGUUCUAAAAUUUUUGUUUUUAGAACCUUUGAAUAGGAGUUCUAUACUAUUUAGUAGACCUCACAACUACAUACAAAUAUACAAUAUAUACUUACACACAUAUUCAUAUUUAGAACUAUCCAUUGGAAGUGCUCUUAGUUUUAGUUUGCUGUAAAGUAUCACCUUCCAUAUGUCACCGUUUGGUUGGUCUAACGAAUGAGGGUGUUAAAUUAUUUCUCUUUUUAUUGGAGGGUAAUUAGAAAAAAGAAAAAGAAACAUGCAAAAUUUAUUAUUUUCUCCAUCAUAAAUACACGAAAAUAUUCAGUAUCUAUGCUACCUUUGAAGAAAAUGAACUUGGAGGUCUCAUGUCGAAAUUUAAGACAUAUUAACAAGCCUAUCGUUAACGUAUGGUUGUAACUAAUAAACUAGGAUAUUGAUUCGACACAGUUCGAAUUGAUAAAUAUAUUGAUUCGACACAGUUCGAAUUGAAAAUUGCAAAAAACUACAUAAGAACAAAGACCAUGGCAUCAUACCGCUCUUUUUAAUACAUUGAAUCGAUCGAAAUCGCUUAUGGUUCAGAUCAUUUUUGAGUUUCUUUGUUUAGCCUUGAUCUUCAUCACCGAUCCAUCAUCAACUAAACAUGAGCUCUUUAUGUCUCUUCUCUGUUUUUUUUUUUUGUUGUUGAUAAUUCUACUAAUUUCUUGUAUUUAUUUGGAUAUUAAUGUUAAUUUACUGACUUCAGUUUAAUUAUACUGGUAAAAACGUUAGGUUUCUCCGAGUUCUUGAGCUUACAAAAACAGAGUAAAAACAUAUAAUAUAGGUAGAGGAGGAUCAAGCUAGACAACUGCUUGUAUAUGUUGUGAUCUGUGGUUGUCGUUGAAUUGCUGGUGUUGAGAUCGUUGCUGAUAUUAAUGAAGUUGAAUUGGCUCAAAAUCAUGAAACCAGAUCGAUAAAGUAUCAGAGGAUGAAUAAAAAUUUCGAUACUUAAUUAUAAGAAUAUUAUCAAAGGCUAUGACACUACCGAGCGGCAAUGAUCGACAUGGUGAUUUGGUUCACUGUGCAAGAUUCAUGGUCGGGCUGUUUACUCCAAGUCGAGUAAGUUUCACGAGAAUUUCAUAUGACGCAAUAACCUGGCGGGUUAGGCUGAGGAAUAUCUACUGCUUCACUUCCCAGCAUCAAAACAACUGCCGACAUCAGUGGCCUAUCAUCUACACGUGAUUGAACACACAAGAGGCCAAUUUGUAAGCGCCUUAAGAUUUCACGUGGCCUGAACGUUGGGGAUGAAGAAUCUUUUAUGACCAUGUCUACAAUCGCUAGACCUUGACCUUUUUUCCAAUUCCUCCCGGCUCCACACCUGUGCAUAAAGGUUGAAUCUAUUCUUAGUGACAUUGUCAUAGAUUUUGAGUGUGCAACACAAUCAAAUUUUAGAGGUUUCAAGCUUACACAUUGGAGAAGAUUAUGGUCACGGUCCGAGUUGUAGAAUCCUUUAUUCCUCUUGCCACUUAUAAUUUCAAGAAGCAAGACCCUUUAUUCCUCUUGUACACAUCUGACUUCAUGGAGAAUAUCCCUUCUAAAGCGUAUUUUGGGGAUAUGUAGCCACUGCAUAGCAAAUGGUAAAUAGAAAAUAGCUAUCAGGUUUUAAGCUGUAUUUGGGUUAGCUCUUGGCUUCAAAAAUGUGAUGAUGUUGUUAACUGCUUACUAAGUUCCGACCACCUUCCUCGUGUUAGCUUCUGUCUCAUCUCGUCCAAAGAUCCUAGCCAUUCCGAAGUCCAAAAUUUUCGGAGUCAUAUGUAUCUUUAUCAAGCAAGACGUUGCUUGCUUCCAAAUCCCUAUGGAUGAUUCGAAUGGAUGAGUCUUGGUGAAGAUACAGAAGCCCUCGCGCAAUACCAUUGAUAAUAUCAAAUCUCUUUUGCCAAUUUAGCAUACAUCUUCUGGUUUCAUCUGCACAUCGUUCACAACAGAACCAAUUCCAUUAUUAAUGUAUGGCUGUUAUCAGGUUCAUCAAGACAAUGAGACAUGGCCACAUAACAGCAAUACAUUAAUAACUGAAUUGAUUCUGUUGUGAGAUGAAACCAGAAGCUGUAUGCUAAUUGGCAAAUGAUGAUCUUGAUCUACGAGUACUUGGAGAAUCGACUCUCAUCUCUUUGUCUAUGAUAACAGCCAUAUAUUAAUACUUUUAGAAAAUCUACGAAAAAGCCAUGAAAUGAAAAAUUGGCUAUUUGUAUGUAAACUGUGGCAAAAAAAGUUUAAAAUAAUCAUAAAAUAAAAUGUUUUCAAAAUAUCCAAAAUUUGACCAUGAAUAUUUCGUGAAAAAAUUAUAACAAAAUAAGUGGCUAAAACCACAAAAUAGGGGAUAAAUUGUUAUAAAUUUACCUUGUAAACAACACCAAAGUCACCUUUUCCGAUCUUGUUACAAUCACAGAAAUGUUCGGUGGCUAUGAGAACAGCUUCAAACUCCAUCAAUGGAAAUUCUAAAUCUUCUUCUUCGUUCACUCCAGACAAGUUUUUCUCUGUCUUGUUCAUACCACCCCUUAGGGUGAAUCUAACCACGUUCAUUAGAAUUUGGUUUUUCACUUGACAUUUGAACACGUAAAGGAUCAGAAAAUAAAAUAAAAAUUACUGAAAAUUAAAUAAAAGUGAAGAUUAUUACUGAUUUACCUAUAGGUGUUUUUUAAUUUAAAAGAGCCUUAUUUACCUAUAGGUGUUGCAGUUGUCUUUGCUUGCUUCUGUCUCUUCUUCCAAAAGCAGAACACGAUAACACACAGAAUAAGCAUAAGGCCGACUCCUAUACUCUAACCUAUUAAUUUUAUGUCUCUCUCCUCGUCCAAGGAAAGAACUGCAAAGAAUCGUGUCAAAAUUUGAAAGCUAUUAAGUUGACCAACUCGAUUUUUCCGCAUGAAUGGCUAUAUCACUCAUUAAAAGUAAAUGUUAGUUGACUUCGACAGGUUAAGAAAUUAGUAUGAGACCGCGACGUGAGAAAGAAAACAAAAACUAUAUGUAUUACAGUAUGUCUUAUAGGUCGUUGUCGUAUAACAUCUCUUGUGUUUGCAAAAAAGAAAUUGUUUGCUUAAAAUUUGGUGUUUGCAGAAUUAUCUCAUGCAUUUUACCUUCUUGAGAAUUCAUAAUCAUAAUCAUAAAUAUUAUUUAUUCCGUUUCAUUUUAAGUAUGGUUAUAAACUUUAGAAGAUUUUUUAUUAUAACUGUUAUUUUAUAUUUUUAUAUGAAUAAUAGUUUUUUCUACUUUUAUCCCUAUUUCUUAUUUUAUUAAUUAAAAAUUCAAAUAAAAUUAUUUAUUAGUUAAGAAUUUAAUGAUUUUAAAUAUGUGACAAGAACUUUAAAUGACAUAUAAAAUUAAAAUGAAAUAAAGGGAGUACUAGUUAUUAGCCAGCUCGUUUCAUGGAUGAUUCAUAUUUAAAUAUUUUUAUUUAGUUGACCAACAUAAAAAUAUUUUUUCAUGAUUUUUAUUUCUAGCUACUAGUAUUAUCCAUGCAUGUAAAGUGCGGGCUAACUACUGUAUUAUUUUGUAUCUUUUCUUUUUGAAGGAAGCAUUUUGUAUCUUAUAAAAUGAUAUAUUUUGCAUCUAAUAACUUCUACAUCCACUAUUAUUUUUUUUGUCAACAUCACUAUAAAAUCGUUAGCAUAAUAUUUCCAUACAAAUUUGCUAUCAAUUUAUUAGCUAUCACUACGUUACUAACUUACUUACACUGUUCAAUAAAACUUCUUUUUAGAGCUUGACUGGUUUCCCCGCUACCACCCGCAAACGCAGCUUUUGCGGUUGGUAGCGGUUGACAGCGUUUCGAAACAAUCAUACAAACCGUUACAAAUCGCUUCAAACCGCUCAGAACCUCUUAAAUUCAAAAGCUGGUUCCAGCUAGCGUUUGUGGUUGCGGGAGAAUAAUUUUUUUUUCUUUUUUUUUUAAAACCAUAUAAAUACAAAAUAAAAAUAUUUAAUAAAUUUUAUAAAAUGGAAUUAUAAAAAUACUAAAAUAUAUCUAUUAUAUUUUAAUUAAUAUUAUAAAAUUUUAAAAUAAAAAUAUUUUCUAUAAUCUUAAAAAUUUAAAACUAUAACUUUGAAAAUAUAAUUUACAUAUUUAUUAUAAUAUUAUGAUUUUUUGAUAUUUUUAUAAUUAUAUAAAAUGUAAAUAUUGUUAAUUUAUUAUUUAAUCGCUGUUGUAUUUGGUAGUUAACCAGUCAUAAGUAUCCCGCAAACGCACCAAUUUCUAACCGCAGAACCAGUCGUACAAAUCUCUUAAAACCGCAACCACCCGCAUCCGCAAACGCCCGCAGCCGCAACCGCAACCGCUGCGUUUGAACCAGUCAGGCCCUUACUCUAUAAUAUUUGGCCUUUUGUUAUUUACUUCUUUGGAUGAACAGGUCACAUUUGUUAUUUUGAAUUUUGAAAUAAAAGUAUAAAAUAAUUGAUUUUAAACUCUUAUUCAAGCAUUUUCAACUUAACAUAUAUGGACGUAAUAUUUCCUCUAAUUUUUUUAAAAAAAUAUGUAUAACCAACAAAAAAAAUAUAUACUUAAUUAAUUAAAUAAAUUAUUCAUAUAUAAUUUAUUUAUACUCUUAUUCAUUUAUUUUAAAUUUGGUGAAAUAUAUUUAGGUCACAGUAGAUAUCUCAGUUUAUAAUGAGAUUGUGAUAUCCAAUUGUUACCUAAAUCAACAACAGCCACUUUGACAUAAAGAUCUUGACCACCGAUGGAGUAAGACCGGAUAUCAGAGAGGUCUCCGGUCCAAAUCACACAACCCAAUCCUCCAUUUUGAACAUCCCCAGCCGCGAACGACGUACCGUCACAAUCGCUAAGGCACCUCUCUUUACAUUUUUUUCGCAUCAAUCAUCCGGUCCACAAUAGCCAUCUUAGUAUCUGGUAGCUUCAUAUUCUUUAGUAGCGAAAACCCAUUUCCACUGCAGCUCAGUGGUGUCCUCCUCACACACCCAUCUGAUCCUUCUCUCAAGUCCCACUGCUGCCGGUUCUUGGGAUCGAACCCUGCAAAACAGUUACAUAAUUAGGUGACGUGCUUAGGUCGCAAUAAGCAAUAAGCAUAAGGCCCACAGCUUUCAUAAAUAUCGCAGUCGUCCGUUGGUAAAGUCCAAAAAAUGUUCCAUCCCCAUGAUGGCGGGAUCCACGUGAAUCGGUAGAGGUACCCUAACUCACUGAUCUUCAAUCUCGAGUAGAUGCUUUGGUUGGCCAUAAGGAACGUGUAAGCGACCUCCUCACUGUUCUCCGUAUAAUCGUAGACCAUGUAGCUUAAUCCUUGGACCUCCGGUAUGCCACUAAACUCGCUUCCAUUCCAGAGAUACCAACGCGAGAGUGCCGAGGGUUUGAAGAAACCAAGCUCGAAGACUCCACCGGAAGAUACAAGUGUUCUGUUGCUUGAGAUUGUGAGAGAUUCUGUAGACGACAUCAUGUUAACAACGAUCGAAAGGGUAGGAUGAAAUAGAAUCAAGACGAGAAAGAACGAGAAGGUGUAAGAAUGGUGGUAUAUAUUCUGUACACCUUUCAUCUUUUUGACGCACGAUUGAUGAAAAUACCUUGCAUAUAUUAAUAUCGGGUUCCUAUUCAUAUCUUACAAUCUUUAGUUACUUUCGCAAGAAAAUUUGAAAUUAAUUAAUUAUCAUCACGAACCUAGCAGACAAGCAAAAUGUUGUGUUUCAUAUUCCAUGACUUUUUCACCCUUUCAAUCAAUUCAUUUCCGCGAACCUUUUUAUAUCAUUGGUCUACAUUUUUAAAUUUACGCUUUAGUUCUCACGCUGCGAAACAUAGCAUGUGUUCUUCUCAGUGAGAAGAAAAAGAGCAUGUGUUCUUCUAAAGAACAUAGCAUAUGGUGUUCGGCAGCUUGUAUGGUGUUCUCAAGAGCAUCAUACGAUCCAUUCAAAGUUUAUUGAAAAAAUUUCGUACAAUUUCUUCAACGAUUAUGGAAUAUUAAAUUUAGGAUCCGAGUGGUUUCUCCUCUGUCACCUGCAAACGUGGUUCUUUGGCAUUUUAAGCUAGCUUUGCGUUGUAAACAGUUGCAGGUAGAUAAAUAAAUGUAAAAUUAUUUUCAAACAAUAUUUGAAAAUUUAAAAUUUAAUUUUUAGAUUGAAAUAUUAUAAAUAAAAAUUUAAAAUAAAUUUUAGAUUUUAAUUUAUAUUCACUAACAAUGUCAGAAUUUAUAUUAUAAAAACUUUAAACCAAGAAUAUUCUAUAAUAUUUAAGCAAAAAAAAAACUGCUCAUGCAUGCACGGUCGUAGCCUGGUAGGGCAUUGAUCAGUUCCAUUAGUUGGCCGUAAAGUAUAAACUGCCAUGUGUUACGGUUUGGUUGCUCUGGGGGAUGAGUGUGUCAAAACAUGUAACAUUUAUUAUUUUCUCCAUCAAAAGACAAAAAUACACAAAAUAUUCAAUAUAUAUGCAACAUAUGCAGGAAAUGAACUUGGAGUUCUCAGGUCAAACUUAAGACAUUAACAAGUCACAACAUGACUAAUGUUAUAGUUAACAUAUGGUUGUAACGAAUAAACUAGGAAACUUCACGGUUUUCUUUAUAUGUGCGUUUGUUGUAUAAGGGAUUCUAAAUUUUUGGUGAUUUCAUCUUUCUAAUUAAUAAAGAUAUUGAUUUGACACACUUUGAAUUGAAAUUUGCAACGAACUUCAUAAUUAGGAACAAAGCCACGAGCAUCGACAUGGCUCUUUUAAUACAUUGAGUCGAUCGAAAUCGCUUAUUAUUCAGAUAAUUUUGAGUUUCUUUGCUAAACCUUGAUCAUAAUCUUUGUCUGAACAGAGACAGGGAUCUUAACAUCAUGAACACCAUCAGUCCAUGUCAAGCUUCCAAAGAAGUAACCAGUGUUGACUUUAUGGCUCGUUUUAGCCUUCACCUUGAAAGUGAGCACUCUCUUAGCUGCAGAGCUAAACACGAGUGUGUUCGGUGUGACGGUGAGAGUUAUGCCGAGUGGAGACUUAAUCACAGCUUUGUAGACUGACUUGAUGGGUCCAACAUUGGUCACAGUUCUUGUGAGUGUGACUUCUUUUUCAAGAUUUGGAAUUGUGAUUGAAGGUAAGUUCAUAUCAAGAAUUGAUGGCUUAGGAUUUGGACACUUGGUAAUUUUACCGACCAUUCCAGAAAUUGAGGAAUCGUUGUAACCAGCGGAACACAUAUAGUUGAUGUAAUCUUGAAUCCCCAUAUCGUAGACAAGUCCUGGUUUUGAAGCUUUUUGAGGGUUUACAAGACCUCCUCCAUAGUCAAAUGGAUCUGCAAGCUUCUUGUUUGAUCCUUCAGCAAAAAUGGGCUCUCCAGAUGGACUUGUCCUCCAAGCUUCCAAAAAGAGACAGGUUAGUCAGUUUUGUUUGUGUAGUUAAGGAAGAAAAGGUGAAGAACUAAGCAAGAACCUGUUGUGACCAAAGCUGAUCUAACUGCAGCAGGAGACCAGUUAGGGUGCAGAGACUUGAGGAGAGCUAUGAUUCCAGAAACAACAGGAGUCGACAUGGAUGUCCCUGUAUCUAGUCCAAAUCCAUCAUGUUCUCUAGAAUCAAACGGACUUAAUGCCGCGAGUAUGCUCACACCAGGAGCUGCUAUAUCAGGCUACAUAGUGUAAAAUGUGAUAAAUGAUCUAGUUUCAACUUUUGAAGUAAACAACAUAGACCAGAGACAUAACGGCUUUGUAACCUUGAGAAUGGCUGGUGAAACUGAGUUUGGCCCUCUACAUGAGAAUGCAGCAACCUUUGUUGUUGCAGGCAAACCUGUUAAUGUCGUAGCCGAGUUUAUUCUCACCGUAGGAGAUCUGUGAUUAGACUUUGGAUCAAUAAUAUUUAUAGAUAAAAAAAAAAGAGAGAGAGAUGUGACAUUAUAAACAGAGUUUAUUUGCUUCAAGAUAGAGGACCUGGUGGUACGUAUGUAUUGUAAAAUGUCGGUUCCAAGCUCGUAAUCUGCAAAAAUGCACGCAAAAGAAUGGCACCGUUGAAGUAGAUCGUCAGGCUUUUGGGAAAAGAUGACUCCUGCUACACCUUUCAAUGUAAUUGGAGUGGUACUAUCGAAAACAAGAACUGUUUUCCCCUUCAUAUCAACAUUAUCAUGACUGCUUGAGUUCAGGAAGGCUAAACCGGUUGAAAUCUCCGGUCCAGUGUACAGAGAUUCAGCCUAGUUAGACACCAACAAGUUAAAAUAGCUCCAGACUUUAAACUAUAAUUGUUGUUUAGGUUUUUGGGUAAUAAAAGGUAUUAAAACGUACCAAGAAGGUUUGAUUAUUCCCAAGAGUGAUCUUGGUAGGAAAAGACCGGUCAAGAGUAGUAGCAGCAACGGUCAAAAGCCAUGGAGCAACAUUGACAACAGUCUGAGCAGCAGGGCCUGCGUUACCUGCCGCAGCAACAACCGGAAUCCCUUUUGUCACCGCGUGAAAAGCUGCGAUAUUGUCGAGCUUAUCAACCUCUGAAUCCUCUGGAAUACCCCCGCCAAUAGAAACAGACAAAACAUCAACCCCAUCGUGUAUAGCAUCAUCAAAAGCCUUCCACAUAUCAGCAGUUGUACACCCUCCAGCAGGUUCUACUCCGUUCCAACACGCCUUGUAUGCGGCAAUCCGGGCCUUAGGAGCACCACCUCGGACCGUGCCUGACAAGGGAACAAGGUUAUGUCUUAUUAAACCUAUACCUUAACUCCUAAACUAACUUAUAUCAGGGACGGAUCAAUACAUUUAUUAUCAAUUAGUUUUAUGUUGGAAGUCAAUUUUAACUUAAAAUAUAUAUAGUGAAUACUAUCAAAUGUUUCUGUUGGCUUGGUUUAGUCUCAACUACUACUUAUCAUGUACCUUGGGCUAGACCAUAGUAGCUUGCAUUGGAGACGAAUGAGCCUCCGGCUAUUGUGGCUGUAUGCGUGCCGUGACCGAUUAUAUCUCUGCUGGAUUUGAAAUCUUGGAUUAUGGUUCGGUUGAAUUUUCGACGAAUGAGCCUCCGGCUAUUGUGGCUGUAUGCGUGCCGUGACCGAGUGCAUCCCUGUUGGAUUUGAAUUCUCUGACUGUUGUUGUUUUGAAUGUUCCUCCCAUCUCGGCUAGUAGGCCGUUUACGUAGUACUUAGCUCCUAUUAGCUUUUUGUUGCAAUGAAUUGUGGCGUUAAACUUUUCUCCUGAUACACAUUUUCCUCUCCAACGCUUAGGUAUUGGUCCAAGGCCUUGAUCGUUGAAUACCUUUGACUCUGGCCAUAUUCCACUAUCUAUGACGCCGAUGAUAGCUUCACUGCCCAUGUUGGUGUCAUGAAGAAGACCUUUUACAGAUG
RNAcentral lists this long non-coding RNA (14226 nucleotides) under Brassica napus (rape). RNAcentral's name for it is "long non-coding RNA (BNAP_LNC002922)". Lineage: Eukaryota; Viridiplantae; Streptophyta; Magnoliopsida; Brassicales; Brassicaceae. The record is from RNAcentral.